CUACUCUGGUUUCUCUUCAGAUUGAAUAAAGCUUUCGAUUUACUAAAGUUUUCUGUGGAGAGUAUCAUCCAUGAGUUUUCAAAAAUUUCUUUUUUUGAGGCUCUGCCCCUUGCAGGGCU
Molecule: small nuclear RNA, 119 nt
Organism: Bombina bombina (fire-bellied toad)
Lineage: Eukaryota; Metazoa; Chordata; Amphibia; Anura; Bombinatoridae
Product: U5 spliceosomal RNA
Exons: 1
Source: RefSeq, a predicted model, not a curated record